Molecule: ribosomal RNA, 400 nt
Filed under: uncultured Faecalibacterium sp.
Lineage: Bacteria; Bacillati; Bacillota; Clostridia; Eubacteriales; Oscillospiraceae
Description: bacterial SSU rRNA
Rfam family: Bacterial small subunit ribosomal RNA
Source: RNAcentral
GUGGGGAAUAUUGCACAAUGGGGGAAACCCUGAUGCAGCGACGCCGCGUGGAGGAAGAAGGUCUUCGGAUUGUAAACUCCUGUUGUUGAGGAAGAUAAUGACGGUACUCAACAAGGAAGUGACGGCUAACUACGUGCCAGCAGCCGCGGUAAAACGUAGGUCACAAGCGUUGUCCGGAAUUACUGGGUGUAAAGGGAGCGCAGGCGGGAAGACAAGUUGGAAGUGAAAUCCAUGGGCUCAACCCAUAAACUGCUUUCAAAACUGUUUUUCUUGAGUAGUGCAGAGGUAGGCGGAAUUCCCGGUGUAGCGGUGGAAUGCGUAGAUAUCGGGAGGAACACCAGUGGCGAAGGCGGCCUACUGGGCACCAACUGACGCUGAGGCUCGAAAGUGUGGGUAGCAA